RNAcentral lists this ribosomal RNA (251 nucleotides) under uncultured bacterium. Its description in RNAcentral is "partial 16S ribosomal RNA". It matches the Rfam family "Bacterial small subunit ribosomal RNA", at positions 525 to 775 of the family's 1533-position model. The record is from RNAcentral.
ACGUAGGUGGCAAGCGUUGUCCGGAAUUACUGGGUGUAAAGGGAGCGCAGGCGGACUAGCAAGUUGGAAGUGAAAUCUAUGGGCUCAACCCAUAAAUUGCUUUCAAAACUGCCGGUCUUGAGUAGUGCAGAGGUAGGCGGAAUUCCCGGUGUAGCGGUGGAAUGCGUAGAUAUCGGGAGGAACACCAGUGGCGAAGGCGGCCUACUGGGCACCAACUGACGCUGAGGCUCGAAAGUAUGGGUAGCAAACAG